This 253-nucleotide ribosomal RNA is filed under the name uncultured bacterium. Its description in RNAcentral is "partial 16S ribosomal RNA". It matches the Rfam family "Bacterial small subunit ribosomal RNA", at positions 524 to 776 of the family's 1533-position model. The record is from RNAcentral.
UACGUAGGCAGCGAGCGUUGUUCGGAGUUACUGGGCGUAAAGCGUGCGUAGGCGGUUUUGUAAGUUUGGUGUGAAAUCUCCCGGCUCAACUGGGAGGGUGCGCCGAAAACUGCAAGGCUGGAGUGUGGGAGAGGUAGGCGGAAUUCCUGGUGUAGCGGUGAAAUGCGUAGAUAUCAGGAGGAACACCGGUGGCGAAGGCGGCUCUCUGGACCACAACUGACGCUGAGGCGCGAAAGCUAGGGGAGCAAACAGG